Molecule: ribosomal RNA, 626 nt
Filed under: uncultured fungus
Lineage: Eukaryota; Fungi
Description: eukaryotic LSU rRNA
Rfam family: Eukaryotic large subunit ribosomal RNA
Source: RNAcentral
CCCGCUGAACUUAAGCAUAUCAAUAAGGCGAGGAAUAGAAACCAACCGGGAUUCCCCUAGUAGUGGCGAAUGAAGCGGGAAAAGCUCAAGUUUGAAAUCCGGGCAACCGGAGUUGUAAGCUGAUGAGGCAUCGACCGACGUGGUCCGGGCCCAAUUUCCUUGGAACAGGAGGUCAUGGAGGGUGAGAACCCCGUCUGUGGCUCGGGUGCCAUUGUCCCUGUGUCGUGCCCUCUAAGAGUCGGGUUGUUUGGGAAUGCAGCUCAAAAUGGGUGGUAAAUUUCAUCUAAAGCUAAAUACUGGCGAGAGACCGAUAGCAAACAAGUAGAGUGAUCGAAAGAUGAAAAGUACUUUGAAAAGAGAGUGAAACAGUACGUGAAAUUGUUGAAAGGGAAGCGUUUGGCAUCAGCCCUUGGCAUCUGUCGAACAUCCGGGCUUCUGUCCGGUGCACUCGUCAGAUGUCGGGCCAGCGUCGGCUCUGCCUGUCGGAGAAAGGCCCAAGGGACGUGGCUCACCUUCGGGGGAGCGUUAUAACUCUGGGCGUCAUACGAUGUGGUGGGGCCGAGGUCUACGGAUUCUGUCCUAGGACGCUGGCGUAAUGGUUCCAAGCGACCCGUCUUGAAACACGG